GGCCCAUUAGCUCAGUUGGUAGAGCACUUGAUUUUUAAUCAAGGUGUCCCGAGUUCGAGACUCGGAUGGACCACCA
RNAcentral lists this transfer RNA (76 nucleotides) under Clostridiales bacterium. Its description in RNAcentral is "tRNA-Lys". It matches the Rfam family "tRNA". Rfam says of the family: Transfer RNA (tRNA) molecules are approximately 80 nucleotides in length. RNAcentral also lists the same sequence under 5 other names. Lineage: Bacteria; Bacillati; Bacillota; Clostridia; Eubacteriales. The record is from RNAcentral.